Molecule: ribosomal RNA, 1197 nt
Filed under: Limosilactobacillus reuteri
Lineage: Bacteria; Bacillati; Bacillota; Bacilli; Lactobacillales; Lactobacillaceae
Description: bacterial SSU rRNA
Rfam family: Bacterial small subunit ribosomal RNA
Source: RNAcentral
UAGACUAUAGCUAUCUGCAGUCGUACGCACUGGCCCAACUGAUUGAUGGUGCUUGCACCUGAUUGACGAUGGAUCACCAGUGAGUGGCGGACGGGUGAGUAACACGUAGGUAACCUGCCCCGGAGCGGGGGAUAACAUUUGGAAACAGAUGCUAAUACCGCAUAACAACAAAAGCCACAUGGCUUUUGCUUGAAAGAUGGCUUUGGCUAUCACUCUGGGAUGGACCUGCGGUGCAUUAGCUAGUUGGUAAGGUAACGGCUUACCAAGGCGAUGAUGCAUAGCCGAGUUGAGAGACUGAUCGGCCACAAUGGAACUGAGACACGGUCCAUACUCCUACGGGAGGCAGCAGUAGGGAAUCUUCCACAAUGGGCGCAAGCCUGAUGGAGCAACACCGCGUGAGUGAAGAAGGGUUUCGGCUCGUAAAGCUCUGUUGUUGGAGAAGAACGUGCGUGAGAGUAACUGUUCACGCAGUGACGGUAUCCAACCAGAAAGUCACGGCUAACUACGUGCCAGCAGCCGCGGUAAUACGUAGGUGGCAAGCGUUAUCCGGAUUUAUUGGGCGUAAAGCGAGCGCAGGCGGUUGCUUAGGUCUGAUGUGAAAGCCUUCGGCUUAACCGAAGAAGUGCAUCGGAAACCGGGCGACUUGAGUGCAGAAGAGGACAGUGGAACUCCAUGUGUAGCGGUGGAAUGCGUAGAUAUAUGGAAGAACACCAGUGGCGAAGGCGGCUGUCUGGUCUGCAACUGACGCUGAGGCUCGAAAGCAUGGGUAGCGAACAGGAUUAGAUACCCUGGUAGUCCAUGCCGUAAACGAUGAGUGCUAGGUGUUGGAGGGUUUCCGCCCUUCAGUGCCGGAGCUAACGCAUUAAGCACUCCGCCUGGGGAGUACGACCGCAAGGUUGAAACUCAAAGGAAUUGACGGGGGCCCGCACAAGCGGUGGAGCAUGUGGGUUUAAUUCGAAGCUACGCGAAGAACCUUACCAGGUCUUGACAUCUUGCGCUAACCCUUAGAGAUAAGGCGUUCCCUUCGGGGACGCAAUGACAGGUGGUGCAUGGUCGUCGUCAGCUCGUGUCGUGAGAUGUUGGGUUUAAGUCCCCGCACGAGCGCACCCUUUGUUUACUAGGUGGCAGCAAUCAGGUGGUCAACUCUAGCGAGACCUGACGUGACCAAUGGCAGGUAGGGUGGGGACGUACCGUUCA